RNAcentral lists this long non-coding RNA (1195 nucleotides) under Strigops habroptila (Kakapo). RNAcentral's name for it is "lncRNA (ENSSHBG00005015968.1)". The record is from RNAcentral. Lineage: Eukaryota; Metazoa; Chordata; Aves; Psittaciformes; Psittacidae.
GACAGAAGCUCUAGCCGCACCACAGUAACUAGGACUCCCCCUGUCAAGCAGUUCAUCGUAGCGGCUGAUAAGGAUGCGUGUAGACAAAGGGAAUGAAUAGCCGGAAAUAUUCUGGGAUGUUCUAAAAUCAGAAGGACUUUCUGUACAGUGUGGCGAUGCACGACAGGAAAUUAACUCCGAAAGGAAUGCUUUCUCUCAAACUGCUGCAACAGAAUUGAAAUUUUUUCUAUUCUAGUAUCUGAAAUUCCUCCUGAAGACACGGCAAGGACUAUCAGAAACAUCAGAGAGAUUCUGGUACUUUUAAAGAGACUCAAAGCAAACGCCAGCGUAAUAGCUGAAUGACCUUGGAGAUCAUUUUAUGUGGAUUCAUUAAUUUUCACUGCCAGUCUUCUAGUCUCAGGAACUCUAGGAUUAAAGAUGGUUUUAACAUUUUAGGGGCCUUUCAAAAUACAAGAUUGUAUACAAUUAAUUACCUGCCUAAUGAUUCCUGAACUAAUUGAGCAUUUACUUAGAACACGGAAAGAAGAUGCUUUCUUUUAACGUUUGCUUUUUCCAUAAUUGUGAAUAAAAUUAACAAGGUAAUGUCCUGCAAUUAGAAGAACUUUUUUUUUUUUUAAGCAAGUAUUUAUUAUGCUGAUCAUCUAAUAAAUAUAGAAACCUUAAAGCCCUAAGAAGAUGAAGCUGAAUAACAGAAUAAUGGAGCAGUAAACAAUGGCAGCUUUUCUAGUCAAAUCAGCAUUUCAUUAGCUUCACAGCAGAAUGCAGAUGGAAGUUUCUGUUCUCGUUGUAUGGGGGUUUGUGAAAUGAUUCAGGUGUUGCUACAGAGGUGAGCAGUAUCAUGGAUAUACCUAUGAACUCCUGGGUACUGAUCCACGGUAGCAGAGUUUCCAAAGAUGAAUAUUUUAAAUUACCAUUGCUGAAAUUAAAUUCAAGAGGAUUUAUUUUGUCUGUGGGGACCUUGCAUUAUGCUUCUGGCAUUAAUAAUUGUAAUGGACUAUAACUGUUUGAAGGAAUUGUGAAUAUCGACAAAAGUCUCCAAAUUCUAUUCUUAAAUUAUUUUAUUUUUUAAAUGAAUAGAACACGAUCUUCCUCAUUGUAUGUGAGAUGUAUGUUUUCUUUCUUGGGAGUCCGAGGGCAAAUCUGCCUUGUCCCCCACCCAUCUCCCUCCAAAUAAAAUUCAUUAUUCAUACCCAAA